CCUACGGUGGGCAGCAGUGGGGAAUAUUGGACAAUGGGCGAAAGCCUGAUCCAGCCAUGCCGCGUGUGUGAAGAAGGCCUUCGGGUUGUAAAGCACUUUCAGUGGGGAAGAAAGCCUUGGGGCUAAUACCCUCGAGGAAGGACAUCACCCACAGAAGAAGCACCGGCUAACUCCGUGCCAGCAGCCGCGGUAAUACGGAGGGUGCGAGCGUUAAUCGGAAUUACUGGGCGUAAAGCGCGCGUAGGCGGUCUGAUAAGCCGGUUGUGAAAGCCCCGGGCUCAACCUGGGAACGGCAUCCGGAACUGGCAGGCUAGAGUGCAGUAGAGGAAGGUAGAAUUCCCGGUGUAGCGGUGAAAUGCGUAGAGAUCGGGAGGAAUACCAGUGGCGAAGGCGGCCUUCUGGACUGACACUGACGCUGAGGUGCGAAAGCGUGGGUAGCAAACAGGAUUAGAUACCCGAGUAGUC
Molecule: ribosomal RNA, 465 nt
Filed under: Vreelandella stevensii
Lineage: Bacteria; Pseudomonadati; Pseudomonadota; Gammaproteobacteria; Oceanospirillales; Halomonadaceae
Description: partial 16S ribosomal RNA
Rfam family: Bacterial small subunit ribosomal RNA
Source: RNAcentral